UGUGUAGGUGGCGCCGUAAGUGGGGUGUGAAAUUUCGAGGCUUAACCUCGAAACUGCAUUCCAUACUGCGGUGCUUGAGGACUGGAGAGGAGACUGGAAUUUACGGUGUAGCAGUGAAAUGCGUAGAUAUCGUAAGGAAGACCAGUGGCGAAGGCGGGUCUCUGGACAGUUCCUGACACUGAGACACGAAGGCCAGGGAGCAAAC
RNAcentral lists this ribosomal RNA (205 nucleotides) under uncultured bacterium. RNAcentral describes it as "partial 16S ribosomal RNA". It matches the Rfam family "Bacterial small subunit ribosomal RNA", at positions 568 to 773 of the family's 1533-position model. The record is from RNAcentral.